GGGGAAUUUUCCGCAAUGGGCGAAAGCCUGACGGAGCAAUACCGCGUGAGGGAGGAAGGCUCUUGGGUCGUAAACCUCUUUUGUCAGGGAAGAAAACAAUGACGGUACCUGACGAAUCAGCAUCGGCUAACUCCGUGCCAGCAGCCGCGGUAAUACGGAGGAUGCAAGCGUUAUCCGGAAUUAUUGGGCGUAAAGCGUCCGCAGGUGGCUCCUCAAGUCUGCCGUUAAAGGCCAGGGCUCAACUCUGGUUAGGCGGUGGAAACUGUAGAGCUAGAGUGCAGGAGGGGUAGAGGGAAUUCCCGGUGUAGCGGUGAAAUGCGUAGAUAUCGGGAAGAACAUCGGUGGCGAAGGCGCUCUACUGGACUGCAACUGACACUCAGGGACGAAAGCUAGGGGAGCGAAUGGGAUUAGAUACCCCAGUAGUCA
This 426-nucleotide ribosomal RNA is filed under the name uncultured cyanobacterium. RNAcentral describes it as "bacterial SSU rRNA". It matches the Rfam family "Bacterial small subunit ribosomal RNA", at positions 356 to 796 of the family's 1533-position model. The record is from RNAcentral. Lineage: Bacteria; Bacillati; Cyanobacteriota.